GGCUCUCCUGUGGAGGAAGAGAAGGUCAGGGGUUAUGGGCCUCUGAAAACCAUCUUUCUGCCCACCUUGGGCUCGCUUAGUCCCUAGCCCCGGGGGACAAUCGUGCAAUAACUUCGCACAUUUUCUCUGCUCAUCCUUCAUCGACACUGUGCUCAAACCUCCUGAACGCGGGUGGGUGUCCAAAGUGGUCAAUACCCAGCUAUAACCUCCUUUUAGUUUCUCACCUGUAUCUCUUUUCCCUGUCAACCUGAUGCUGAGAUUGGGAACUGAUAGGCGACCAGAGGGAGAGAGUCCUGGGGGCUGCAGAGCCCCCACCUCUGUUUCUUCAAGGCUACCACUGGACAGCUGUCCCCAUUCCCCCAUCCUAGGAGUGCCCGUGAGCAGGGACGACAGUCAGUGUGGAAGGACAGCUGGUCCUGUGGUAGGUGUGAGACCCGAGCGUGAGAAGGGCCAGAAGAGGAGGUAUUCAGGCCUGCCUCCUUGGAUUCUCUCCUUCCUCUGUGCACAGGAGUGUGGAGCCCUGUGUAGGAGCUGAGAGAGUGCCGAGAACGUGACCACUCUCAUGGUCUUGGCCAAGUUCAGAGACAAUCACAUCACAAAGGAGACUCAGUCCCAGUCUUUUGAGAAGUGUGAACAGAAAAGAGACGAACACGGAUGCGUGCUGGAGGCAGCAGCCUUAGGGUGAGGGGACAGGAGAGUAGACCAGGGAGGGCAGCACCUGAGCCUUACAGGGUGUGGCUUUCUCCUGCAGGCAGAGAUGGGGAUGAGCCUCUGGGAGGAGCAGGUGGCAGAGUGAAAGCACAGACCUGGCAACUGUGGGGCUUGGCUGGGAAGCUGAUCCUUUCUCCAGGAACAUAGUGUGUCUAAGGCGAUAGAGGAAGCUGGGUCUCCCCUCUGGAUGCUCCAGUGGGACCAGGGAAAGGUUUCAAGCAGCCUUGACAAGACUAGAGUCACUUUCCAGCACCCCCUCCCCCACCAGUGCCCCUUCAACUGCCUCCCCUGAGUGCCUCUUCCAUCGGACCUGCUGCUUUCCCCCACACCCCGAGGAGCUGUGAAGUUUCAGGGACAAGGAGGAGAGAGCUGAGGAAGCACAAACUUCUUGUAAUGGAACCACCAUCGAGGGACAGUAUAGAUACUCAAGGUCAGGUUGGCUGAUUCCCGGACAUUCCAGGAACCCAGGAACCGACUGGCACAGAGGAAGGUAACGAUCACGUGGGGUCGAUGACUGCAUCUGUUUCUCCCUUUCUCCUGGCUCCUUGUCACCAGUGCCCAAUGUACCUUCCAGCUGUCAGCCAGCUACCUUCACCGCUUGACUGAAGCUCUGGUCACGGUCACCUUGACCUCCAGCUCGCCAGAUCCACUACUCACUUUUCUGUCUUCUUGACUUUUCAGCAACAUUUGUCAAAGUUGGUGCUUCCCUCUUGAAACACUCUCCUGCCUGCGCUCCCAGAACAAGGUCCUCUUCUUUUCUCCUUCCUGCCUUCCCCACCCCCUCCUCCUCUGUCACUGGAGUCCAAAGUUGGAAUGAGGGUCCAGGGGCCUGGUGGUUGGUCCACACUCUUUGGCAACUACUCUUCUCUAGGAGGCCUCACUCAGUCCAUGGCCUCAAAUACCCCCGCCCAUUAACAACUCCCACAUUUUGUUUUUUCUAAAUUUCCGUUCCUGAUCAUGAUUCACUCUUGCUUACCUGAUGCCUCCAGGUGGAUUUCUAGAAGGCACUUCACACUUCUUAUGGCCAAAAGAGAACUUUUAAUUUUUUUGCCCCUCAAGCCUAUUUAUUUCUUUCCACCACCUCAACCACCCACCCAAUUGAUUUUUUUCUUUAUUCCUUGACCCCGAAUAAAGGAGUCUUUUAUUCCUUUUUGUUUUAAGUUUAAAUUCUAGCAUAAUAUUAGUUUCAGGUGUAUAACAGUGAUUCAACACGUCCCUACAACACCCGGGACUCGACACAGCAAGUGCACUCCUUGAUCCCCAUCACCUGUUUACCCAUCCCACCCACCCCCCCUCUAGCCCUUCUUCUUUUUCUACCUCCCCCAUCAGCUGGUCCAAAACCUAUUCCAAAUCUGACUCCUUUGCUCCUUCUCCACUGUCAUCACCCUGGGCCCAGGCACCUUCGUCUCUCACCUGGGCUCCACUUCCUUCCCUCUAGUCCACUGCUAUAUGGCAGCCAAAGGGCACACCAGGUCUCGUGGCUCCCCUGUUGGAAGCCAUCCAAGGACAUGGCCCUGUUCUUGCUUACCUCUCUGACCUUGUUCACUUCCCUCCAGUUACACUGGCCUCCAUGCUGCUCAGACACUUCAAACUCAUUCCUGACUUCGGGCCCACACAGGUCUUAUUUCCUCUGCCUGGAACACUCUGGCUCUAGACCUCUGCAUGCCUGGCAGACUCUUGACAUUCAGUUCUCAGUUCACAUGUCACUCUUGGAUGAGGCCUUCGCUCCCGCCAUUAUUCUGUCACAGUACCUACCCCCACCCUCUUUUAAAGCCCUGAAUAUGGUCAGAAAUUCUUAAUGAUUUGUUGGUUUUUGUCUGUCCUUUGCCCAGGAGUGCAAGGAUAUUCCCUUCCCCAGCACCUGGAAUAGUCCCCACUGCAUAGUGAUGCUCAAUAAAGAGUAGAUGAGGGACUGGGUGGGUGAACUGGAGUCACGGAGCCCUGAGUGGAGAAGCUCAGAUGAGAAGGCCUGGGGCAGGGUGCAAUGUUUGUUCUAGGGAUUCAGAGAAGGCUUCCUCUAGGAGCGGGCAUCUGAGUUGAGUGUUAAGGUGGCUAUGAAUUCGGAGAAGGUCGCAAGGGCAGCCCAAGAUGUAAGGGAAUGAGCAAGAGCAGACACACAGAGGCACCAUGGGUGGUGCAGGAAACUACUCCUUCCCAGACAGCCCAACUGCCAGUCGGAGGGUGGCGGGAGUGACCACUAGAGAGGUCAAUUGGGGCCAAGUCUCAGAAGGCCUGGGGUGCUAUGCUGAGGGGCCUGGACUUUCUCCUUCAAGGAGGGGCAGGCCUUGGAAGCUUGGUCAGAUUUUCAUUUCCACAGAUUCCUGUGGCUGCCCUGUGGCAAACAGAUGGAAGGCAGUGGUUUGCAAACUCUGUACAAUAAUAUCACUUGAGACCUUUUGGAACCUACAAAACCUGUGGGCUACACCAGACUAAUCCAGAAUUUCUGGGGAUGAGGCCCAGGCACUAGUGGUUGUUUGUAUUGUUUUUUCUUUAAAUCAACUUUCUACCGAAGCUAACAGGAGGAGCAGUGCAGAUCAUAAAUGAACAGCUGAUAAAUUGUGAUCAGAUGUACCCGUGUAACCGGCAUCCAGAUCAAGGUACGGGAUACUGCCAGCACUCCAGAGCUCCCCUCCCCUCCAAAGACCGUACAUUAAUUUGCUUGUUUUUGAAAUGUAUGGACAUAGUUGCGUGUCGUUGAACCUUAUUUAUUCGCUGUAAGGUAUUCCAUUGCAUGAAUGUGCCACAUUUUGAUUAUCCAUUCUAUUGGUGGACAUGGGGGGAGCUUCCUGCCUGGGGAUUAUGAACGGUGCUGCUGUGACUUUUCAGGUGAGCCCACGUGUACCUUUCUGUUGGGGAUCUACAUGGGGGUGGGGUCGCUGGGUCACAGGGAAUCCAAAUGCUCAGCCUUAGUGGAUAUGCCAAACUGGCUGCCAGUGUGAAAAUCUCCCAGAUUAUUCUAACCUCUGGCCACAGCUGAGCUUUGCUGUUCUAACGGGGGUAAGCCCAGACACAGGGGCACCGGUUAGGAGGCUCACGUGGUCACCCGGCCCCUGGGCAGAUGCAAAUGUUAGCGGACAGCAAGAUUUCUAGUGAAGAGGGAGCAGGCAUCAGAAAAAAGAAGGAAAAACUGCUUGUAGGAAGAAAAAAAAAGGAAAACGGCCUCACGCUGCUGGUGCUUUUGGUGUUGGCUUUGCAAAGGUCGCUGGAGAAGGAGGCAUAAUCUGUUGCGAGAGGAGAGGCAGAAGAUGAAAUAGUGUAAAGUGUGUUUGUGGCCACAGUAGAGUGCCUGGCAAGCGUCAGCCAAAGCCUGCAGACACUAUGUCAUAGGACUGUCAUUGUGAGACAUGAAUUCACUGGUUAUAUAUGUGCUGAUCCAGUUGGGAGCGGGGAGGCCGGGUGAUGCUGUGGCCAGGGCACUAGGAGAUAGAUUAGACAUGGUCUAAUCUCGGCUUGGCCACGACCAGGCUGUGCGAUCCUGGGCAAAAUGCUUCGUAUCCCUGUAGUCUAGUUAGAGCAUUCUGGCUAGAUGAACUGUUAAGAUCUUUUCUGGUUCUAAUGGACUAUUACAUAUGUCACUCUAGAGGUGACAGCAGAAGAUCUGAAAAGUUGGCACGAUGUAAUAACUUUAUAUCUGAGAUGGUUUUGGAUGAGAACACUGGACUGUAUAAUUCCCUAAAUUAUCUAGCACAGGGUAAGAUACUCUCAGAUGAUUUCAGUCUUUAGUUUUUUAAAAUUAGGGAUAUGGCCAGGACACUGGUGGCUGGGAGCCCCAGACAGUCUUGUAAUGUUACUAAUAUGGCAGCAUUCACCUUUUGUUUUCAUAUCUAAUCCCCUCCCACUUGCCUUUAUGUAUAAAAGCCUCUCACCUGGGGGUACCUGGGUUCCUCAGUCAGUUGAGUAUCUGACUCUUGAUUUCUGCUCAGGUCAUGAUCUCACGGUUUGUGAGAUUGAGCCCCGCGUCGGGCUCUGUGCUGACAGCAUGGAGCCCACUUAGGACUCUCUCUCUCUCUUCCCCUCCCCUGCUCAUGCCCUCUCAAAAAUAAACAUUAAAAACAAAUCCUGUGGCUUUCCCCUGAGCUCUCAGGGGGAUACAUGGGACUGUGCACAGAUACCCACUCUUUGGAGGGGAUGUAAAAGGAAUGAGGUCAUGGGACUCAGCCGUGAAGGAGAACUGGACUUCAAAACCGCUCUCAGGAAUUAUGUUGUGCAAACUUUGAUUAAAAAGAUUACCGUGGAGGUUGGGUAGGAGGGAGCGCAAGGAUGUUUUGACUGUAAUUCCAACUCCUGGGCUGAUAGACUGUGACGAAACCUUUAGCAGGGGGCAGAUUAUGGUGUCAACAGCAGGAAACAAAGGGAGAGGAAGGCUGAGCCUGAUUAAGUAGGCCAAGGAUGGAACGUGCUGGCAUGCUGCUCAGGGGACGGCAGUGCUGGGCUUGCUGGCUAAGGAGGCAGGUGUGGGAAUAUUCGCGCCAGGGAAUGCCGGCAGAGCCCCGGCCAGCCCCAACUGCAGUAAAAGUGGGAGUGUGGAUGUGUUUAGUCACCAUGGGAGAAACGGGAGAAUGCAGGUUGGGGUGGGGAUUGGGUUACCCGCUGAGCCAAGAUCAAAAGAAGCCACUGGGUUGGAAAGGCAUUUCAUUUGCUCUGCGCCACAGGCUACAGCUAUUGUGGUGACCGGUCCAGCUCUGUGCCGACACAGCUGAUUGUAGAGGAGUGGCCAGCCAUCAGAGGCAAGGCCCGGUGACCCUGUGGCCCCUCGGCUAUAUGUUCAUUUCCUAAGGUCCCCAUUAGCCCCAUCAGAAAGGACUGGAGAGACAGGCUGGGUGGCUCUUUUCUUUGUGAUGUUCCAGAAAACGAUAACUGGGAAUGUGUUGAGACUGGAGUCCUGGGGGCUGGCAUUUAUUGGAUGCUAACGAUUGUGUUUGGUGCUGCACACACGUUACCCUCAACAAGGUCACACGGUAAGGGGCUGAAGCUGCUAUUUUCAUCCUGUUUAUCUGGUUACAAAAUUAAUCCCCCCCCCCCCCCCGCCAGCACUGGGAAAUUGCUAAAAUAAUGGAAUCUGUCAGGACAAAUAAGGUAUGCCGCCAUUCUGAGCUUUGCGGAGAAAGGGGCUCCUUCCAUCAGUAGGUCUUUGUUUUGGACAAUGGUCAACAUCCUUGGGCUGCCUCCUUUGACACACAGCCCACUAGGUGCUCGGCCACUCACCAUGUUGUUCCAGAGCGCGAUGGCCAUCUCCGCGUGACCACGUUCUGAGAAGUGGAAACAGUCCUCGGAGAAGAAGGUGAGGUCAGCGCCCCCUCUCUGUGACCAAAGGCAAAGGGAUUACCUUUCUGGGAAAAAGGUGCAGCUACCCACCCUUGCGGGCACCCUGGGCAUCUUCCCUUUCAAUUCUGCCAGUUGUCUCGGAUACUGAUGGACAAACUCCCCAGUUUUGGAACGUUUUAAAAGACCUAAAUUCUAGCCACCCCCAGUCCAUCCCUUUUCCUUUGGCAUCCCUGCCCUAAUAGUUGAAAAAAAAAAAAAAAUAGGAAGCUUUCCCUUCUAUCCCAAUCUAGCAAAUACCAGGGCCAUGCCUGGGGAGCUUGGUCACUGCUGACAUUCUCCCUUUCCUUCCAAGCACAUCCAGGUUCCAUUCAGACCAAAAGAAAAGGUAAACAGAAAAAGCAACUCCCUAGGAGCCCUCUUAGAAGUACAUGGUCAGAAAAAGCUCAGGUACAGAAGGAAGUAUAUCGCCUAAGAAUAGUCUCCCAGAAUUGCCCGUGGCUUACGCUGUUCAGGGGGACAAGAGUGUUCUGGAAGAAAGGCUGCACGACCACUGCGAAAUCUUCACGCUGCAGAGAAUUCUCCUGGGAACGUGUGAGGCAAGUGCAGUUGCUCCUGGGAGAGAAGGGGUCCUGUGGAGAGGUGCCUGGGUGGCUGACCCCCUCCCCCCACCAAGGGAAGAAGGCCUGGACCCUGUAUUGCCUUGCAUGGGAAGAUGGUCCCGGGCCUGCGUCGGCAUGUCCCUAGAUGGGGAAGAGAAGGGAACCUUAGAGCCAGCUGGGAAGCAAAGGCUCAAGCCGUGGGAUCCUGGCUUGGUGAGACAGGUGCUCCAAGAAGAGAAAUGUUAUAUAAACUUGACUCCUUCAGAGUGUAUCCAAAGGCUUUCGAUUCUCAAGAAACCUCAACCUAGUACAAAUCAAAGAUGUGCCCCAGACCUCAGAGCCACAUGGAUCCGGACCCUGCCAGGGGCUAGCCUGGGUCCACCCACCGCCUCCUUCAGGCCUGGUCCUCCCUGGCCCCUGGCGGGGGGGGGGGGGGGGGGGGGGGGGGGGGGGAGGAAUCUGGAUCUGAUCAUCCCUUUCCCAUAGAGAUGGUCCCUUACAUUCCACUGGGCUCUUUCACAGCGAGCUGAGCCUGUUCAGAUCUUACUUGGCUGCCUGUUUUAAAAAUAACCUCUUGUAUAUUUGAAAAAAGUCACAGCCUUAAAUUAUCCCUCUGCUUUCUCCUUUUCAAGCGUCAUGACUCCUUAACCUUCACUUCUAAAUCCCGCUUUCUAUUCCUUUAAUCCUUUUUUCUUCUCUGUUGUUGCUUUGGACUUCCAUACCAUCCCCUUGCUUUUUCCCUCUCCCAGUGCAAAAAGGAUUGCAGGGGUGGGGGGGUGGGCAGGGAGACAAAUCCGGAGUGGGUUACUUUCUCCCUUCCUCCCCCCGAUGUCUGCCACGAAUAAGGAAAAUGAACACUCUGGGUACGAGCUGAGCAUGUGGUUGGAACAGUACCCAGCAAUAAGGAGGAGAGGACUGUGGACAGGCACGACGUGCAUGCAUCUCAAAACGACGGCGGAUGGAAGUUAGACAAGAGUACCUCGUGUCAGAUUCCAUUCAUAUAACAUUCCAGAAAAUGAAAACUGAUCUACAGUGACAGAAAGCAGGACAGAGGCUAUCUGGGGCCCAGAGAGUGCGGUAGAGAUCGGGAGGGAGAGCUGGAUUACAAAGGGCACAGGGAAACCUCGGGGUGUGAUGGGUGUUUAUAAUCUGGAUUGCAGUGAUGACUUCACAGCUAUGCACAUACGCCAGCCAUGCUUAUC
Long non-coding RNA from Prionailurus viverrinus (fishing cat), 7777 nucleotides. RefSeq lists it as uncharacterized. NCBI's taxonomy places the organism in Eukaryota, Metazoa, Chordata, Mammalia, Carnivora, Felidae. The record is from RefSeq and is a predicted model, not a curated record. The transcript is spliced from 5 exons.